GAUCAUGGCCCAGGAUGAACGCUAGCUACAGGCUUAACACAUGCAAGUCGAGGGGCAUCAGUUUGGUUUGCUUGCAAACCGAAGCUGGCGACCGGCGCACGGGUGAGUAACACGUAUCCAACCUACCUCAUACUCGGGGAUAGCCUUUCGAAAGAAAGAUUAAUAUCCGAUAGCAUAUAUUUCCCGCAUGGGUUUUAUAUUAAAGAAAUUCGGUAUGAGAUGGGGAUGCGUUCCAUUAGUUUGUUGGGGGGGUAACGG
This 258-nucleotide ribosomal RNA is filed under the name uncultured bacterium. RNAcentral's name for it is "partial 16S ribosomal RNA". It matches the Rfam family "Bacterial small subunit ribosomal RNA", at positions 15 to 263 of the family's 1533-position model. The record is from RNAcentral.